Long non-coding RNA from Tupaia belangeri chinensis (Chinese tree shrew), 218 nucleotides. RefSeq lists it as uncharacterized. Lineage: Eukaryota; Metazoa; Chordata; Mammalia; Scandentia; Tupaiidae. The record is from RefSeq and is a predicted model, not a curated record. The transcript is spliced from 2 exons.
GGGUCAAGUGAUCCAGUUCUAAGACUCAUCUUUUCUAUUAUGAAGAUGGCAAAAUCCUGAGGGCAUCCAUGUUGUUGCAAGUGACAGGAUUUCAUUGUUUUUAAAGGCUAAUUUUCCAUUGUUUAUAUAUCACCACAUGUUGGUCCAUCCUUUCAUGGACAUUUGAUUGAUUCAGCUACUGUGGAAAGUACUGCAAUAAAAUGGGACACAGGUAUGAU